GACAGCAGCCGCCGCGGUAAAACAGAGGGUGCAAGCGUUAAUCGGAAUUACUGGGCGUAAAGCGCGCGUAGGUGGUUUGUUAAGUUGGAUGUGAAAUCCCCGGGCUCAACCUGGGAACUGCAUCCAAAACUGGCAAGCUAGAGUAUGGUAGAGGGUGGUGGAAUUUCCUGUGUAGCGGUGAAAUGCGUAGAUAUAGGAAGGAACACCAGUGGCGAAGGCGACCACCUGGACUGAUACUGACACUGAGGUGCGAAAGCGUGGGGAGCAAACAGGAUUAGAUACCCCGGUAGUCCCUGUCUCUUAUAC
Molecule: ribosomal RNA, 306 nt
Filed under: uncultured bacterium
Lineage: Bacteria
Description: partial 16S ribosomal RNA
Rfam family: Bacterial small subunit ribosomal RNA
Source: RNAcentral